ACAGUGUUGGGCAUGUACUUAAUGCUCAAGACAUGUUCAAUUGAAAACAAGUAAUUUUAUUUAAAACAAAUAAUAAACAGCAUAUAGGACAUGGAAGGAUAAAAUAACAGUUAAUAUGUACCAGAGAGAAAGAACACAGGGGGAGGGGAUGAAACAAUCGGGCGGGGUCUCGGGUUCCGGCGAUGGAACUAAGGGUGAUUGUACAAGGAGCUCUCCCUGCAGGGCUGUGGACUCUGAAUGUGGCUCUGGGAGCCCUGCAGGAGCAGGAAUAGGGGCAGGGCUCAGGAUAGGGGCAGGGACAGGGGCAGGGACAGAGGUAAGAGCAGGGGCAGGGGCAGAGGCAAGGGGAGGGACAGGGUCAGCAGUAGUGGCAGGUGCAGGAUCCAGGGCAGGAGCAGGGACAGGAUCUGGGUCAGGGGGAGGAACAGGACCACUGGCAGGGGAAGGGGCAGUGGCUCUGGCAGGAGUACGGACAGGGGCAGGAGCAAGGGUAGGAUCUGGGUCAGGGACAGUGGCUCUGGCAGGGACAGGAGCAGGAGCAGGGGCAGGGGCAGGGGCAGGAACAGGAACAAGAGCGCAGACAGGGGCAGGAACAAGAGCACAGGCAGGGGCAGAGGCAGGGGUAAGGGAAGGGGCAGGAGCAGGGUCAGGAUCUGGGUGCGAGGCAGGGGCAGGGGCUGGGGUGGGGGAAGGGGGAGUGGCAGGAACUGCAGCAGGGGCAGGGGCAGGAGCAGGUGCCAGUUCUUCCUGGACAGCACCAGGCUCUCCGUGGGCAGGUGCCGGGUCACCUGCCGGCUCCUGGUCUCCUCCUGAAGUCACUGCAGGCACCAGCCCUCCCUCCAGAUCGGGCUCUAGCUCCUCAGGUGGUGGAGCAGCUGUGAGAGGAGAAAAGCUCACCCCCGUGCCUGCUCUCCGUGGGCCUUUGCAGAGACAGAGCCCAGCCCAGGGCCUCCCAGAGAAGCCACAGCCGGGAAGGAACCCUCACGGGGAUGUGUCCCCAGCUGCAGUCCACCCGCUGGGUGCUCUGUGCCCAGUCGUUGCUCCUGGCCCCACACCAGCCUCUGGGGGCUCCUCCCUGUGGGGCCGCACCGACCCGUCCCCACACACCACAAACACCCAGCCCCACCCUUCUCACCCUCGGCCUCGGCCUCCAUGGGCUCCGGCUCCUGGACCACUGUCCAGUGGACGACCACCUGGGACUGUGGUCCGCGUGGUGUCGGAGGUCUUGCCCGGCAACCCCCAGCACCUGUUUCUUGGGAUGCCUUUGGGGUCACCCCCUCUGUCAGGGAGGAGGGCACGUCCGCCAGUUGCUUCUCCAUGUCCUCUGUGGCCUUCUGCAAAGACAGGGACCGGUAGCCGGCCCCGAGGCAUCACAGCCCUGCCCGGCCAUCCGCACUGUCCUCCUGCCCAGUCCCCCUGCUGCUCCCAGAUCAGACACACACCUGUGCGCGCACAGCCCUGCACCCGGGAUGCAGUGACCCAUCCCUGCAGGGCUAUCGGGAUAAACCUUGGGCAGAAGGGGCAGCGCCCGCACACCCCAUCCCACCCAGCCAGCCUUGACCUUGAACAUGACCUGCCCACUGGGUAUCUGACCCCUCAACAGCCUGCUUCUGCUCGGGGUGUCCCCACCCCCAUGACCCCUCUUUACACACAGACACACACACGCACACUCACACACACGCACACACUCGCACACACACGCGCACACACACACACACACACACACACAGGGAAGGCACCUGGGGCUACACAGGUCAUCAGAGCAAGUGGGGCUGGGUGGCCGGCUCUGGGCCUCCUGGUGUCACCUUUCUGUCCUUCCGACCAAAUGGCCAGAGGCGGUGGGGAGCCCUGACAUGAAAUCCCCAGCAGGGGACAGCGCCCUCAAGGCGCGCCUUCUUCCACCUGCAGCCUCGGGACCUCGGCAGGCAACACGUGAACAUUUUGCCAUUAAGAUCUCCAAUGAAAU
Molecule: long non-coding RNA, 1966 nt
Filed under: Zalophus californianus (California sea lion)
Lineage: Eukaryota; Metazoa; Chordata; Mammalia; Carnivora; Otariidae
Description: lncRNA (ENSZCAG00015001949.1)
Source: RNAcentral